GGGGAUGCACUGGUUUCGAUUGGAACUUUUGUACUUUGAAGUUUGCAUGCAAGCAGGGCGGGCUGCUUUAAACAACUGCAAAACAAUAAACGCUAAUAAUAAUAAUUUAGCUUUAGCAGCUUAAUCUGCUACGGUUACCUGAGGAGUUUUCACUGUACUACGACGGAUAACCGAAAGACAAACGGUGAUAGUCCUUUAGAUGCUCUUAACAUAGGAUGAAAAUAUAAGAGCUGCUGUAUUUGAUAGGUCUGUCAGAGUCCAGUCAGAUACUUAAGAUUUAAAUCUGAAUAAGCGUGUAGGAUGCUUUGAGGGCGAGUCUCAAGACGCGGGUUCGAUUCCCGCCAUCUCCAAAA
This 353-nucleotide transfer-messenger RNA is filed under the name Spirochaetota. RNAcentral describes it as "GWC1-27-15 sp001829125 Standard tmRNA". It matches the Rfam family "transfer-messenger RNA". From Rfam's summary of the family: Bacterial tmRNA, also known as 10Sa RNA or SsrA, is named for its dual tRNA and mRNA-like properties. The record is from RNAcentral. Lineage: Bacteria; Pseudomonadati. RNAcentral also lists the same sequence under 2 other names.